RNAcentral lists this unclassified non-coding RNA (4482 nucleotides) under Amphibalanus amphitrite. Its description in RNAcentral is "enhancer of mRNA-decapping protein 4-like, transcript variant X1". Lineage: Eukaryota; Metazoa; Arthropoda; Thecostraca; Balanomorpha; Balanidae. The record is from RNAcentral.
UACUCGAUUGCAUUUAGUUCCGUUUUCGCCGGCGUUUGGGCGAUUACUAGUUCCAAGCAUCUGAAUUGAGAGAAGAUGAGUGGUAACAGUGCUGUUGCCAUGGACUCCUUGAAGUCUGGACAACAGCUCAUCACGUUCGAGGACUGCGAGUCGUCCAGCAUCACGCACGACUCUGUGGUCGUGCUGCCGUCGGACAGUGCGCACGCCACGGGCUCCUCGCACGUCAAGAUGAAGACGAUAGUCGAUUACGCCUGGGACCAUAAGUACUACGACGGACACAUUGCCGCCAGUCGCGGGGAGUACCUGGCCUACGCCAUCAAAGCCAAGUCGGGCGGUGUGGUGCGGGUGGUGAGUCGCGGAACAGACGACCGAGCGCUCAUCAAAGGCAUGACCGGAGCCGUCAAAGACCUGGCGUUCGCGCACACCAACAACGAAACGCUGCUGGCAGUGGUGGACGAGAUGGGCAACCUAUCUGUCUUCAAGAUCGACGAGGACCUCAACAAGAAGCUGGUCGUCUCGCCGUACCUCGGCCUGCGCCUGGUUCACGAGACUCCGCCACCGCCGAGCACCAUUCACCGGGUGGUCUGGUGCCCGUACAUCCCUGAUGAUGACUGUGACGAUCAGGAGACCGAGGAGACGGCCAAACUGCUGCUGGUCACACACGGCAACAGGGCGCACCUGCUGAACGUGGCCAUCAUGGUGGAGGAGCACGGGCCGGGUCCGCUGCUGGUCGGCGACGUCAGCGAGGGCUUCAUGGAGAUUCUCGACCACGGACAGGCGGUGACCGACGCCGCCUUCUCACCGGACGGCACCGCACUGGCCACCGCGUCCGUGGAUGGAUACGUCAAGUUCUAUCAGAUCUACAUGCAGGACAAGGACAGUCCGCGGAUGCUGCACGAGUGGCAGCCGCACGACGGCCAGCCGCUCUCCUCACUGUUCUUCCUGGACAACCACCGCGACCAGGACCCCGGUGAGCCGUUCUGGAAGUACGCCGUGACGGGCGCCUGUCAGAACACCGAGCUCAAGGUGUGGACGUGCGAGUCCUGGAACUGCCUGCAGACGAUCCGGCUGCAGCCGUCUCCGGCCGACGAGCUGUCUGCCGCGCCGCCGGCGGCCAGUCUUCAGGCGGCACUGGACUCGUCGGCCCAGUACCUGCUGCUCAGCGAUAUACACCGGAGGAUGCUGUACGUGCUGAGUCUCUCUCCGCCGGAGGUGGCCGUCAAAUACUUCACCUCGGUGCACGAGUUCCGACUGAUGACCCCUGGCCUGUCCCUGGCCAUCGUGGACGCUCGCCGACGCCGCAUCAAACCGUUCGAGAACGUCGACCAGCUCGAGUCUGGCGCCGGUUGCGGUGACCCGCUGGGCGGCGGUCUGUCGGGCGGCGCCGAGGAAGCCGAGGAUGACACGCUGCCCGAGGGUGUCGUCAUUCGGUGCUACAUGGUGCAGCCACGAUCCCUGCAGGAGUGUGUCAUCGUGUACCAGAGCGCUACUGGGGAGCGGCAUGGCACGGCCGGGGCGGGCGGUGCGCUGCCUGACGCCGUCAGUAGUCAGAAUGGCGAGAGCCUGGUGGACCUGACGGAUAACCUGUCGGACCUCACCCUCAACACCACCGCGUCAGCGUCAGCUGCCGACAGUGUGGUCGAGGUGGGCACGACCCCUGAGCAGCCGCCGCCGCCGCCGACCCCGCCGCAGCCCGCCGCCUCAGGAGUCAUCAGCCUAAUGACUCCCGAGGAGUUCACCUCGCCCUCUCGGAUUCCGGACGUCGUGUCGCCUCCGGGCCCGGCCGCCAGGACCGCUCAGACGGCACGUGCCUCAAUGGAGCUGACAGGGUCACCAGCCGCCGGUGACGCCGCAGUCGGAGACUCAGAGCCGGGCACGCCCAAAUUCCAGGCCGCGUCACCGCUGGAGCGGAAGCCUGAGCCGCCCAGCAAGAAAGACCCCAACAGCUGUGGUAGCUCGCCAUCUAUUGAAGUUCAGGAGAUACUCAAUAAGAGCUCCGAGACGACGACAGAGGCGAAGACCACGCCGCUUAAGUCGCUGUUCCCGUCUCCGCCGCUGCCGCCGCCGCCGGGCGCUGCCAAGGCACCGAGCGGCGGUGGUGCGCCUCCUCUCUCCACAGCCGCCGCCGCCGCCCCCGCUGCCGCUGUACCGCCGGCCGCCGUCUCCUCCCCGGCCGUCUCCGGCCCGUCCUCACUCAGCUCCAGCAGCCAGAACGGCUGGCCGACCAUCCCUGCCGUGCCCGCGGCGCCGGCGGCCGCGCCCGCCGCGCCGCCCGCCCCCGCCCCCGCCGCCGCGGUCUCUGCAGUCCCUGCCGCCGCCCCUGCUGCUGUUCCUGCCGCCGCUGCGGCAGUCCUUGGAGUGGGUGGUGUUGUAGGAGGAGUGGUGCCCGCCGCUCCUGCAGCCGUCGGCAGCGUGCCGCUGGGCGGUGGUGACGAGAAGGCCGCCGUCGGCUCGGGCGCCGUGCUGGGCGCCGUCACGUCCGUGCUCGGCCUGGUCCGAGAGCUGAGCACGGAGGUGCAGCAGCUGCGGGCGCAGGUGCAGCAGCUACAGCAGCGCCAGAAGGCGCCGCCGCCGCCGGCACCGUCCACCGCGCCGGCCGAUAUCAGCCGACUGCUGGAGACCGCGCUCAACACCCACCAAAGGCACAUUGAGGACCUGCUUCUGAACCGGGACCGGGACGAGCGGCAGCGUCUGGAGCGUCAGAUCAGCUCGAUGACCGGCUCUCUAUCGUCCACCAUCAAACAGAAGGUGGACAGCGCCGUCAAACAGGAGUUCAAGGACCACGUACUGCCGCUGGUCACCAGUCGCCUGAAGCCGCUCGAGGGCCAGAUUCGGCACGAAAUGAGCGCCCGAAUCGGUGACGUCGAGGCCGCCGUCAAAGAAUCCAUCGGCAAAACUGUCAACGUCAAGGCGGUGAGCGAGUCGGUGGCGCACGCGCUGACACAGAGCCUGCAGCAGGCUAUGGUGGCGCGCUACAGAGAGGUGUUCAGUAGCACCGCCCUGCCGGCCUUCGAGCGCUCCACACGAGAGAUGGUGCACCAGAUCAACGGAACGUUCUCAGCGGGAACCAAAGAGUAUCUGCAGCAGUUGGAGCAACAGGCGGACCGUGCGCGGCGGCACCGCGAGCCCUUACUGCAGCACGUGCAGGCAUCGCUGGACGCCGUCCGACUCUCAGUCGAACACCUCGGCAACACAGUCAAAGACGAACGCCAGAGGCACGAGAAACACAGACAGGAGGAGGCGGCGUUUCUGGGCCAGGUCCGCGAGGAGAUCCGCCGCAGUGUGUCGGCCGCCCUGGAGGAGCACAGUGCGCGGGCCGCCACCCCGGCCGUGCCGUCCGGAGCGGUGACCCCUACCGUACAGCAGCAGCAGCAGCAGCAGCAACAGCGGCGCCAGCAGAUCGCCCGGCUGGUGGAGAGCAAACAGUGGGACCCCGCCUUCCAGAUGGCGCUGUCGGCCUCCGACCUGGACCUGGUGGUGAUGUUGUGUGAGAUGCUGGACCCGCAGCAGCUGUUCGCCGAGUCGCCGCCGUGCCCCCUCCAGCAGCCCGUCCUUCUGGCUCUGGUGCAGCAGCUGUCGGCCGACCUCAGCAAGAAGACCGACCUCAAGCGCAGGUACCUGGAGGAGGCUGUGAUGCAGAUCGACACCCAGUGCCCGGCUACCAAGGAGCACAUGCCGCACGUGCUGGCCUCGCUGCAGAGCCAGCUGCAGGCCUACAUCGGCCAGGCGGGCGCGCAGCAGACGCCCCUGGUGCGCAGUAUGAGGAUGCUGCUGAUGGCUGUGCGCUCCCUGGCCUCGUAGUGCUUCCUUGUGACGCGCACCCCUCUCCGGUCCGCCGCCCAGGCUGUCGACGCCUGGCGCAGGGCUAGGUGAGCCUGUCCUGACGUGGGCGACUUUCACAAAGUGUGGCCGAUGUCCGGGAAGGCGCGGGUUGGGCUAGGGGAACGCUGCUGUGGCUUCUUCGCCGCUCGCGCCUAGCGCUGGGGGUCGUCCUGGGCUCAGGCUUUGGAGAUUACGAGCGAGGCCUGCCCGGGAGGAUCUCGGCGGUGCGAGGGGGGGGGGUGGCGUUUUACUCGUGUUGACGGGGAGGUGGCGGGGCACCGGUACCCCGUCCGCCGAGGCUGUGGUGCGCGCGGGGUCGGGCCGACUGACUGAGACUGUGUUCCCGGUGACUGAGUACGUUAGGUGAGGAUCGGACGGCGCCGUGCUACCCUGCCGGUGCUACGGGGAGGGCCAGGGGUGCUGAUGUGAUCGGUCCGCCGCGCGGUCCUCCUCGGAUCCGCCCGGCCGGCACCCGUGUUGUAUAGCUAAGGUGAUGUCUUCUGUACUCUGAUAUGUGCCGCUCCGGAGCCAGGGACGUUCUGAUUGGUUCUCUCGUUUUGUGCUGGCUUCACUCGUCCCGUACUGCUUAGUCCUAAGUUCAAUGUACAGACUGAUUCAGACCAGCGAAGGAAUAAACGUAAGAAGUUGGAUGGCAGCGUU